UCCCCGUUACCGGGGCAGUCUAGCUAGAGAAAUUCAACUAACUAUAAGGGUUGCGCUCGUUAAUGGACUUAACCAAACAUCUCACGACACGAGCUGACGACGGCCAUGCAACACCUGUCUUAGGGUUCAAUAAAGCACAGUCUACUUUCGCAGACCUUCCCUAGAUGUCAAACCCUGGUAAGGUUCUUCGCUUAUCGUCGAAUUAAACAACACGCUCCACCGCUUGUGCGGGUCCCCGUCAAUUCCUUUAUGUUUUAAGCUUGCGCUCGUACUCCACAGGCGGGAUGCUUAACGCGUUAGCUUCGCUACUACGAGGGUCGAUACUCAUAACAGCUAGCAUCCAUAGUUUACGGCGUGGACUAC
RNAcentral lists this unclassified non-coding RNA (363 nucleotides) under uncultured bacterium. RNAcentral's name for it is "contains 16S-23S intergenic spacer region". The record is from RNAcentral.